This 484-nucleotide ribosomal RNA is filed under the name uncultured bacterium. RNAcentral describes it as "partial 16S ribosomal RNA". It matches the Rfam family "Bacterial small subunit ribosomal RNA", at positions 28 to 506 of the family's 1533-position model. The record is from RNAcentral.
GAUGAACGCUAGCGACAGGCUUAACACAUGCAAGUCGAGGGGCAGCACAGGUAGCAAUACCGGGUGGCGACCGGCGCACGGGUGAGUAACGCGUAUGCAACUUACCUAUCAGAGGGGGAUAACCCGGCGAAAGUCGGACUAAUACCGCAUGAAGCAGGGGUCCCGCAUGGGGAUAUUUGCUAAAGAUUCAUCGCUGAUAGAUAGGCAUGCGUUCCAUUAGGCAGUUGGCGGGGUAACGGCCCACCAAACCGACGAUGGAUAGGGGUUCUGAGAGGAAGGUCCCCCACAUUGGUACUGAGACACGGACCAAACUCCUACGGGAGGCAGCAGUGAGGAAUAUUGGUCAAUGGCCGAGAGGCUGAACCAGCCAAGUCGCGUGAGGGAUGAAGGUUCUAUGGAUCGUAAACCUCUUUUAUAGGGGAAUAAAGUGCGGGACGUGUCCCGUUUUGUAUGUACCUUAUGAAUAAGGAUCGGCUAACUCCGU